AUUGAACGCUGGCGGCAGGCCUAACACAUGCAAGUCGAGCGGAUGAAGGGAGCUUGCUCCUGGAUUCAGCGGCGGACGGGUGAGUAAUGCCUAGGAAUCUGCCUGGUAGUGGGGGAUAACGUCCGGAAACGGGCGCUAAUACCGCAUACGUCCUGAGGGAGAAAGUGGGGGAUCUUCGGACCUCAGGCUAUCGGAGGACCCUAGGUCGGAUUAGCUAGUUGGUGGGGUAAAGGCCUACCAAGGCGACGAUCCGUAACUGGUCUGAGAGGAUGAUCAGUCACACUGGAACUGAGACACGGUCCAGACUCCUACGGGAGGCAGCAGUGGGGAAUAUUGGACAAUGGGCGAAAGCCUGAUCCAGCCAUGCCGCGUGUGUGAAGAAGGUCUUCGGAUUGUAAAGCACUUUAAGUUGGGAGGAAGGGCAGUAAGUUAAUACCUUGCUGUUUUGACGUUACCAACAGAAUAAGCACCGGCUAACUUCGUG
Molecule: ribosomal RNA, 484 nt
Filed under: uncultured bacterium
Lineage: Bacteria
Description: partial 16S ribosomal RNA
Rfam family: Bacterial small subunit ribosomal RNA
Source: RNAcentral